RNAcentral lists this transfer RNA (90 nucleotides) under Candidatus Peribacteria bacterium. Its description in RNAcentral is "tRNA-Ser". It matches the Rfam family "tRNA". From Rfam's summary of the family: Transfer RNA (tRNA) molecules are approximately 80 nucleotides in length. Their secondary structure includes four short double-helical elements and three loops (D, anti-codon, and T loops). Lineage: Bacteria; Candidatus Peregrinibacteriota; Candidatus Peribacteria. The record is from RNAcentral.
GGAGAGGUGGCCGAGUGGUCGAUGGCGACAGUCUUGAAAACUGUUAAUCCCGCAAGGGGUUCGUGGGUUCGAAUCCCACCCUCUCCGCCA